Aricia agestis (brown argus) is the source of this 99-nucleotide long non-coding RNA. RefSeq lists it as uncharacterized. The record is from RefSeq and is a predicted model, not a curated record. NCBI's taxonomy places the organism in Eukaryota, Metazoa, Arthropoda, Insecta, Lepidoptera, Lycaenidae. The transcript has 5 exons.
UAUCGUACAAUUUCGUACACAAUUUGAUUGGACAACUUUUUAAUUGUGGGUAAUCGGAAGGUAAUCGCGGUUCUGAUACGAUUGGUGUCCAAUUAUUUA